AGCAGAUCCAUUCUGUAGAAACUGCCCACCUGUUAGACAUCAACAUCUGCUUCUGACAUCCAACCAUCAACAUCAUCAUGGCUUGAUGACCCAGGAUCACCCAAAGCAGAUGACAGCAGCCUCAUGUUACAUCACAAUGCCUAUGUCAUUCAUCUCACUUCAUCUCAUCGUGUAGGCAUUUUAUCAACUCACAUCAUUCCAAGAAGGAAUUCAGAUGCCCUGUGGGAGCCAGAGAACAACUUUCAUUUUAAGCACCCACCAGAGACUAACAACAAUUUCUGUAUCCUGCGAGAGAAAAUGUGGUUGACUCAGUACACGCCAGCCAGGGCUUCACUACUGUCCUCCAUAUGUAGAGCUUAAGGUUAAGCUCUAUCCGAGCUACUCUAAAAGUUCUAGAACUUUAUUCGACUGGUGGACGAUGCAAACUCUCAAGAUGGCCUUUGAGGCAGAGGAUCACUAAUGUGCUGUCAGCUGACUUCCCACUCCUCCCACC
This 493-nucleotide long non-coding RNA is filed under the name Homo sapiens (human). RNAcentral describes it as "HSALNT0029795". The record is from RNAcentral. Lineage: Eukaryota; Metazoa; Chordata; Mammalia; Primates; Hominidae.